GACGAACGCUGGCGGCGUGCUUAACACAUGCAAGUCGAACGGAAAGGCCCUUCGGGGUACUCGAGUGGCGAACGGGUGAGUAACACGUGGGUGAUCUGCCCUGCACUUUGGGGUAAGCCUGGGAAACUGGGUCUAAUACCGAAUAUGAUCAUCGGCGUCAUGGUCGGUGGUGGAAAGCUUUUGCGGUGUGGGAUGGGCCCGCGGCCUAUCAGCUUGUUGGUCGGGUAAUGGUCUACCAAGGCGACGACGGGUAGCCGGCCUGAGAGGGUGACCGGCCACACUGGGACUGAGAUACGGCCCAGACUCCUACGGGAGGCAGCAGUGGGGAAUAUUGCACAAUGGGCGCAAGCCUGAUGCAGCGACGCCGCGUGAGGGAUGACGGCCUUCGGGUUGUAAACCUCUUUCAGCACAGACGAAGCGCAAGUGACGGUAUGUGCAGAAGAAGGACCGGCCAACUACGUGCCAGCCGCCGCAGUAA
Molecule: ribosomal RNA, 478 nt
Filed under: uncultured bacterium
Lineage: Bacteria
Description: partial 16S ribosomal RNA
Rfam family: Bacterial small subunit ribosomal RNA
Source: RNAcentral